GAUAAACGCUAGCGGCAGGCUUAACACAUGCAAGUCGAGGGGCAGCAUAGAUUGUAGCAAUACAAUUGGUGGCGACCGACGCACGGGUGCGUAACGCGUAUGCAACCUACCCGUCACAGGGGGAUAAUCCGGAGAAAUCUGGUCUAAUACCCCAUAACAUAUGGAUCGGCAUCGGUUCAUGUUGAAAUUUUCGGAGGUGACGGAUGGGCAUGCGUAGCAUUAGCUUGUUGGUGAGGUAACGGCUCACCAAGGCGACGAUGCUUAGGGGGACUGAGAGGUUUUCCCCCCACACUGGUACUGAGACACGGACCAGACUCCUACGGGAGGCAGCAGUGAGGAAUAUUGGUCAAUGGGCGCAAGCCUGAACCAGCCAUGCCGCGUGCAGGAUGACGGCUCUAUGAGUUGUAAACUGCUUUUGUACGAGGGUAAAGUGGGUUACGUGUAACCUUUUGAAAGUAUCGUACGAAUACGGAUCGGCUAACUCCGUGCCAGCCGCCGCAGUAA
RNAcentral lists this ribosomal RNA (504 nucleotides) under uncultured bacterium. Its description in RNAcentral is "partial 16S ribosomal RNA". It matches the Rfam family "Bacterial small subunit ribosomal RNA", at positions 28 to 523 of the family's 1533-position model. The record is from RNAcentral.